UUGUUUGCAGGUGCAGCAUCACCAAGAUUCACAUGCAAAAUAUAAGCAGGGGCAGCUAGCAACAAGCAUGUGGUUUCUUUUCUUUUCUUUUCUUUAAAUACCUUCUGCCCAAGUUUAUCUUUGAAGGUGAGAAUCUUGAUGAUGCUGCAUCAGCCAUAUA
RNAcentral lists this microRNA precursor (160 nucleotides) under Ricinus communis (castor bean). Its description in RNAcentral is "mir-172 microRNA precursor family". It matches the Rfam family "mir-172 microRNA precursor family". Rfam says of the family: mir-172 has been experimentally verified in Arabidopsis thaliana. Lineage: Eukaryota; Viridiplantae; Streptophyta; Magnoliopsida; Malpighiales; Euphorbiaceae. The record is from Rfam by way of RNAcentral.